This is a long non-coding RNA of Zophobas morio, 657 nucleotides long. RefSeq lists it as uncharacterized. The transcript is spliced from 4 exons. The record is from RefSeq and is a predicted model, not a curated record. NCBI's taxonomy places the organism in Eukaryota, Metazoa, Arthropoda, Insecta, Coleoptera, Tenebrionidae.
CGCAGACAAUAUAGCACGGAAGGAAAGAAAUAAGAAUUAUAAGGUUUAUUUUCCAACCCCCUAUAAGAUUCAUUUAACAAAGAACAGUUACACUUACGGAGGAUUUUCUACACGUCCUGCGGUCUUCCUGUUUCUUUUAAACAGAAGAUACGCAUACCCUUAUCACUGUAUCAUCUGUGGAUAUAUCUUCCUAUUUACUUAGUACGCUGGCGACAGUCGAUUGUAAAAAAGAUUUAAACUAUGGCUCAUUUACCAAUGACAUUGCUUUAUUCUGCUGAAAAUCCUUUUAAAAGCAGUUUAUUGGCAUCAGGGCUUGAAGCAUUUGCUCGCGCUUCCUUGGGAAUAAACGAUCUUCAGUUGUGUAGAGUGGAACAGAGGAAGUUGCUAUGAAACGUAGGGGCAAGUUGUAAACUACAGAAUUCCUUUUUAGAAAUAAGUUAUAGAAUGAGUUCUCCUAAAGUUUAACUAGUUAGUCUCAAAUACACCGAAGUCAACAAUUCUAAAUAUUUUAGCUAAGAUACUACCAGUUCGCGACUCAUAUUUAAUAACAACCUUUUAACUAAUUAGACCUUGACUAUAUUGCUUGAGAUUCUUAAUAAAUUUUAGUCAUUCCCAAUGCAGGGUCGGCUGAACAUACGGACUUAUAGUGCUUCUUUA